This 378-nucleotide long non-coding RNA is filed under the name Nicotiana benthamiana. RNAcentral's name for it is "long non-coding RNA (NBEN_LNC033169)". Lineage: Eukaryota; Viridiplantae; Streptophyta; Magnoliopsida; Solanales; Solanaceae. The record is from RNAcentral.
UGUGUGUGAUAUAUAUAUAUAUAUAUAUAUAUAUAUAUAUAUAUACAGGUUAGUAUCCACUUUUUCUUAUUCCUUAACUGCCCCUGUAAUUACAUUACCAACCCAUUAGUAAGAGGGAUAAGUCUUUUGACCCGAAAAAUGAAUAGUUUUGAAGGAAAGACAAAAAAGGCCAUUACAUUUUUCUUGUUUAAUGAGGCGGCAGAACUUCAGAAAAUAGAGAAGUGGGCAAAAUGUUAACCCUUGAUGAGAUAAUUUAUAGCCACACAAAUUUCUAUGGCUUAUUUUAGACCACAAGUUUCAAAAGUCUUUCUUUCCUUAUUGAACUUCAUGUUAAACACCAUCAUAUGAAUUGAGAUGCAGGGAGUGUUAGUUUUCUAU